UUGCGGAAGAAAUAAUUAAAAGCCAAAAUAACCGAAUGAAACAGUAUUUAAAAUGCCGUUCGACAUAUACAAUACAACUUCUCAAAAACUAAUACACUUUCCCAAAACCUGAAAUCUCAUGAAACCACAAGCCUUUGAAUAUCUAACAGUGUCUAACUCCAAAAUAUCUACCAAGAAAAAGAAAUACAGAAGGGAUAAUACUUAAAAGCGAGAAUAGAAAGGGACUCCUCAGUCUGCGGACGCGGCAGAUAUACCUCGAAGUCUCUGGGGUAGUCGCCUCGCCUCAAGGGUGAUAGGACUGGGUCGAAAUACCUGGAUCUGCACAUGAAAAAUAUGUGUAGAAAGGGCAUGAGUACACCACAACGGUACUCAGUAAGUGCCAAGCCUAACCUCGGUCAAGUAGUAACGAGGAAGGUCAAGGCCCUACUGAGGUUAAAUAAAAUAUAAAGUUCGACAGUGUAGAACAGAACAUUAUAAAUAAGUACGACAGUAAAACUAAUACAGGAUAUAAAGGACAAUAACAACUAUUAUAGAGGCAAAGUACACAGAAAGAAAUACGGCUCAGUACCAAAAAUAACAAUCGGGGACCUCCCAGGAUAUCAUCUUGUAGUCCCAAAUAUACAGGUCCAAUAGGUCUCUCGGGAUACCGUCCCGUAGUCCAAAUCAUAGUGCACGGGGUUCUACCAUAAUUCCGUUCCGUAGUCCUAAAUGUAAAUACCCAGUACUGGGGAAAUCUACCAGGUGCAUUCCCGUAGUUCCAUAUAAUUGUGCAGGGCGAUUUACCUGAAUCCCACGUCCGUAGUCCCAAAUGUAAACAAACAAGGGAGGGGGGAGGGAGCUACCAAAAUCCCACAUCCGUAGUCCCAAUGUAAAUACACAGCAGCAACAGAAAAAAUAUUCAGAAAUGUCAAAUAUCAUAUUAAGGCAAACUAGUAAUUCUAGCCUAAUAUACUGCACAUAAUUCAUGUAAGGCAGUUUGAGAAAAUACAACAAUUAAAUCACUUAGACAUGCUUUCCUAAGCUAACAUCAGACUUAAUAGUGCAAGUAAUAAAAACAGGAAAGGAGACAUACUAGUAAUUACUUAAUGAAAAACCAGAUUUCCAACAAUUAGCAUAAGUACGCACUCGUCACCUCACGUACAAGGCAUCUCAAUUACCAAAUAUACCAAAUCCUAAGUGGAAGGUCCCCCACACAAGUUUAGGCAAGUCACUUACCUCGAACCAGCUCAAAUUAAUCCGAGACCACGCUUUUGCCAUGAGUACUCGACUCCAAAUGGCCCAAAUCUAAUUUCAUAAUGUAAAUAACACUUCAAGUAACUGAUUCUACAAGGAAAUUCUAAGCUAAUGCGCGAAAUUAGGUAAAAUAACCAAAACGCCCCUCGGGCCCUCAUCUCGGAACUAGGUAAAAUUUACAUUUCCAGAAACCCCACACUCUCACGAGUUCAGUCAUACAAAAAGUACCAAAAUCGGACCUUAAAUGGUCCCUCAAAUCAUCACUCAAAUGUCUCUAAUUAGUCAAGCCCUAACCCCCAAUUUACCACUGAUCUUCCUUAAUUUUUCAUGCUUAAAUUGAUAAAAAUCCUUCCAAUAACGAGUUUAGUGACCAAAGACCUUACUCCAAUGAACUCCUCUGAAAAUCCCUCUUGAAAAGUGCUCCCCAAGCUUCUUCCCAUUUGAAAAGAGGUGAAAAUGGCUAAAUUUCGCGAAGGCAAGAAUUUAUAUGUUUCUGCCCAGUUAUUCCGCCUCUAUAGCCCUGGGACCGCAUCUAUAGUCCCGCUUCUGCGAGGACAUGGUCGCAUCUGCGACUUUUGACUUAAAGCCCAGGUUCCGCAGAUGCGGUACCGCUCAUGCGGAAAUUCUACCGCUUCUGCGGCUCCUGCUAAACCUCCGCAUUGUUGCUUCUGCGAUGCUAAAUGUCGCUUAUGCGGCUCCACACCUGCGGUCCCACACUCACAGGUGCAGUUAUGACAGAAAACCAGCUGAAGCUACAACUCCAAAUUCCAAAAUCCUUCCGUCAAUCAUCCGAAAUCAUCCCGAGGUCCCCGGUACCUCAACCAAAGGCACCAACAAUUCUAAUACCACUGUCCAAACUUAUACCAAUCCUUAAAACACCUAAAACAACAUCGAAACGAUGAAUCAACCAUGGAUUCAAGCCUAACAAUUCCGAAACUCUAAAAAGACGCUUUUGAUCAAAAAGUCUAUCAAACCUCAUCUGAAUGACCUGAAAUUUUGUACACACGUCACAUUUAACGCUACGGAGCUACUCCAACUUGCGGAAUUCCAUUCCGACCCUCUGAUAAAAAAUCUCACUAUCGGACCGGAAACUUCAAAAAUUCGACUUUCGGCAUUUCAAACCUAAAUUAGCUGCGGACCUCCAAAACACAAUCCCAUCAUGUCCUAAGCACGAAAUCACUCAACUAAGCUAACAGAACUAACAAAAUUCCAUUCCGAGGUUGUGUUCACACUGCACCGACUACGAUCCAAUUUCUAGAACUUAAACUCUCAUUUAGGGACUAACUUUCCCAAAACUUUCCGGAACUCAAAAUCGAACAUCCCGACAAAGCAAAAUAGCAUAAAUAAACAUGGAGAAAGCUAUUAAUAGGGGACGGGGCAUUAAUUCUUAAGAUGACUGGCCGGGUCGUCAUAAUUCUGGUUAAUAAGGAAAUUAACAUGCUUGAACUAUUGCCAAGAAAACUUAGUCGAAAUAAGAAAAUAGAAGAUUGGCUGUCGAUUUCCAGAAUUGAACUCCAAACAAUACUGCGUUUUCAAAAUUUUAAAGCAAAUCCUAGCAUUAAACUCACAAACACACAAGAAUUUAGCAAAAAAUUCAUAAAUUAGUCCCCCAAAUCUCAUCAUAAAUAGGCAGGGUUUUACUCAUAUCACGUGAAUAUUUAUUUAACUAGCAAGCCAUGAGUCUCAAAGAAAGACAAAAAUUCAUCAUUCAAGAAAUACUAAUCAUUAUUACAGAGUGGUAUGAAUAUACCUAGUUAGUAGGAAGAGAACGAUAUUGUGAUUGCCAAAUAAAGGCUAAAACGAAGGAAGAUGGAGUUCAACUAUGAUUAGCAGACAGCAGAAAGUAGCUUUAAUCUUCGGUCGAAAACCAAAUUGAAAUCCAGAAAAUAGUGAUGAAAAGAUCCUCAAAUCCAAGCAUCAAAUUCCCUCUUUCAAAACCAGAUUUUAUGCCUUUUUUCCUAAAUCUUCCAGUUGAAAAUCUAAGAUUCUCCAAUGAUAAUUCAGAGAGAAAGAUCAAAAGCUUUUUUAUUUUUUGUGGAAUUGAGAAAGAAGGUAUGAGUGGCUCGUUCUCUAAGAAUGCAGAGUGAAUGAAUUAGGGUGGAGUGAGGCAUCGGCUAAUGGGUGUAGAGGAAGAAGGGCUCCUAGGUUUUUUUUAGGGAGGGGGUCCGAUCUGUUGUUCUAGAGAAUGGGGAAAAGGGAUUUUUAAUGGGUGG
Molecule: long non-coding RNA, 3446 nt
Filed under: Nicotiana tabacum (common tobacco)
Lineage: Eukaryota; Viridiplantae; Streptophyta; Magnoliopsida; Solanales; Solanaceae
Description: long non-coding RNA (NTAB_LNC017057)
Source: RNAcentral